AUCUCAGGGCCAAACCGAUAGGAAACGAGGCUGCCUCGCGGUGGCACCGCCACCCCCCAACCGGGUUCCGAGCACCGGAGCUGGCUGCUGCUCCCUCUUUGGAGCAAAGUUUUAUGCAAAGAGGGUGUUUUUUGAAACUUUCGAAAAAUAACUAAACAUGGGCAAAGGAGAUCCUAAGAAGCCGAGAGGCAAAAUGUCAUCAUAUGCAUUUUUUGUGCAAACUUGUCGGGAGGAGCAUAAGAAGAAGCACCCAGAUGCUUCAGUCAACUUCUCAGAGUUUUCUAAGAAGUGCUCAGAGAGGUGGAAGACCAUGUCUGCUAAAGAGAAAGGAAAAUUUGAAGAUAUGGCA
Molecule: long non-coding RNA, 349 nt
Filed under: Homo sapiens (human)
Lineage: Eukaryota; Metazoa; Chordata; Mammalia; Primates; Hominidae
Description: HSALNT0199424
Source: RNAcentral